UGGGGAAUAUUGCACAAUGGGGGAAACCCUGAUGCAGCGACGCCGCGUGAAGGAUGAAGUAUUUUCGGUAUGUAAACUUCUAUCAGCAGGGAAGAAAAUUGGCGGUACCUGACUAAGAAGCCCCGGCUAACUACGUGCCAGCAGCCGCGGUAAUACGUAGGGGGCAAGCGUUAUCCGGAUUUACUGGGUGUAAAGGGAGCGUAGACGGCAUGGCAAGUCUGAAGUGAAAGCCCGGGGCUCAACCCCGGGACUGCUUUGGAAAACUGUGGAUCUGGAGUGCCGGAGAGGUAAGCGGAAUUCCUAGUGUAGCGGUGAAAUGCGUAGAUAUUAGGAGGAACACCAGUGGCGAAGGCGGCUCUCUGGCCUGUAACUGACACUGAGGCUCGAAAGCGUGGGGAGCAAACAGGAUUAGAUACCC
Molecule: ribosomal RNA, 418 nt
Filed under: uncultured bacterium
Lineage: Bacteria
Description: bacterial SSU rRNA
Rfam family: Bacterial small subunit ribosomal RNA
Source: RNAcentral